This 730-nucleotide ribosomal RNA is filed under the name uncultured bacterium. RNAcentral describes it as "bacterial SSU rRNA". It matches the Rfam family "Bacterial small subunit ribosomal RNA", at positions 771 to 1501 of the family's 1533-position model. The record is from RNAcentral.
AACAGGAUUAGAUACCCUGGUAGUCCACGCCGUAAACGAUGUCGACUUGGAGGUUGUUCCCUUGAGGAGUGGCUUCCGGAGCUAACGCGUUAAGUCGACCGCCUGGGGAGUACGGCCGCAAGGUUAAAACUCAAAUGAAUUGACGGGGGCCCGCACAAGCGGUGGAGCAUGUGGUUUAAUUCGAUGCAACGCGAAGAACCUUACCUACUCUUGACAUCCAGCGAACUUAGCAGAGAUGCUUUGGUGCCUUCGGGAACGCUGAGACAGGUGCUGCGUGGCUGUCGUCAGCUCGUGUUGUGAAAUGUUGGGUUAAGUCCCGCAACGAGCGCAACCCUUAUCCUUUGUUGCCAGCGAUUCGGUCGGGAACUCAAAGGAGACUGCCGGUGAUAAACCGGAGGAAGGUGGGGAUGACGUCAAGUCAUCAUGGCCCUUACGAGUAGGGCUACACACGUGCUACAAUGGCGCAUACAAAGAGAAGCGACCUCGCGAGAGCAAGCGGACCUCACAAAGUGCGUCGUAGUCCGGAUCGGAGUCUGCAACUCGACUCCGUGAAGUCGGAAUCGCUAGUAAUCGUGGAUCAGAAUGCCACGGUGAAUACGUUCCCGGGCCUUGUACACACCGCCCGUCACACCAUGGGAGUGGGUUGCAAAAGAAGUAGGUAGCUUAACCUUCGGGAGGGCGCUUACCACUUUGUGAUUCAUGACUGGGGUGAAGUCGUAACAAGGUAACC